GGACCCGCACAAGCGGUGGAGCAUGUGGUUUAAUUCGAUGCAACGCGAAAAACCUUACCUACUCUUGACAUACUUGGAAGCUCUUGUAAUGAGAGUGUGCCUUUUGGAGCCAAGAUACAGGUGCUGCAUGGCUGUCGUCAGCUCGUGUCGUGAGAUGUUCCGUUAAGUCGGAUAACGAGCGCAACCCUUACCCUUAUUUGCCAGCGAUUCGGUCGGGAACUAUAAGGGGACUGCCGGUGAUAAACCGGAGGAAGGUGAGGACGACGUCAAGUCAUCAUGGCCCUUACGAGUAGGGCUACACACGUGCUACAAUGGGGAAUACAGACGGACGCUAAGCCGCGAGGUGGUGCU
Molecule: ribosomal RNA, 351 nt
Filed under: uncultured bacterium
Lineage: Bacteria
Description: bacterial SSU rRNA
Rfam family: Bacterial small subunit ribosomal RNA
Source: RNAcentral